RNAcentral lists this small RNA (485 nucleotides) under Histoplasma capsulatum var. duboisii H88. RNAcentral's name for it is "Histoplasma capsulatum H88 hypothetical RNA". The record is from RNAcentral. Lineage: Eukaryota; Fungi; Ascomycota; Eurotiomycetes; Onygenales; Ajellomycetaceae.
AUGCUGAACUAUAAUUAAAAUAGUAUCGGCGACAAUUUUGAUUAGCGGAGGCGCAGCGGGUAUGUACUGUGCCUCCACAGUGGAUCUCACACCAGGGCCCGAUUAACAUCCAUGUAUAUACUUACAUAGUAAGUAUUGUUGAAGCCAUUCUGUCAUCACAAGAACAAAAGAAAAUACAAUAUCACAUCCCGCAAUUCAGGUGUGUUUUUCUCAUGGAAGCCAAUACCCUAACCACGCCCACCCAUUCUCGCUCCCCGACACUGCUCAGCUUGCCGCCAGAGCUUCGAACGCUCGUAUUCCUCUACUAUUUCCGAUCCAUCACGAUAUGUCGGAGGCUGCACAGAAACCAAGAUGAAUCGGACUGGGAACGGCAUCUAGGAAUCCUGCUAGUCUGUCGCCAAAUCUACCAUGAGGCCGCGCAACUCUUGCUCCCAAAUGCGCGUGUCUUCUGCAACUCAAACGCGGAUUUAAUUGACACUCUGAUG